This is a non-coding RNA of Hymenopellis radicata, 80 nucleotides long. The record is from the annotation of a GenBank genome assembly. NCBI's taxonomy places the organism in Eukaryota, Fungi, Basidiomycota, Agaricomycetes, Agaricales, Physalacriaceae.
GACUUCGUAGCUCAGUGGUAGAGCAUGCGACUGCAGUCAAGCAUAUCGCGGGGUCACGUGUUCAAACCACGUCGAGGUCU